Sphaeramia orbicularis (orbiculate cardinalfish) is the source of this 135-nucleotide long non-coding RNA. RefSeq lists it as uncharacterized. The record is from RefSeq and is a predicted model, not a curated record. The transcript is spliced from 3 exons. NCBI's taxonomy places the organism in Eukaryota, Metazoa, Chordata, Actinopteri, Kurtiformes, Apogonidae.
UGAUUUUAAAUGCUCUUCAUCUAAAUUUCUCAAAUAUUUUUCCUGCUCUGACUGUAAAUAAUAAUUUCCAUCUACUUUCAUCACAUCUGACUGAGGACGAAAAAUCUACAAUUAAACUAUAAGGAAAUCUUACCA